RNAcentral lists this ribosomal RNA (253 nucleotides) under uncultured bacterium. Its description in RNAcentral is "partial 16S ribosomal RNA". It matches the Rfam family "Bacterial small subunit ribosomal RNA", at positions 524 to 776 of the family's 1533-position model. The record is from RNAcentral.
UACGUAGGGACCGAGCGUUGUCCGGAUUUAUUGGGCGUAAAGAGCUCGUAGGCGGUCGCGUAAGUGGGGUGUGAAGUCUCCUUGCUCAACCCGGAGGGGACACCCGAUACUGCUCGACUUGAGUGCUGUAGGGGAGUGGGGAAUUCCUGGUGUAGCGGUGAAAUGCGCAGAUAUCAGGAGGAACACCGGUGGCGAAGGCGCCACUCUGGGCCGGUACUGACGCUGAGGAGCGAAAGCGUGGGGAGCAAACAGG